RNAcentral lists this ribosomal RNA (1711 nucleotides) under Campylobacter coli. RNAcentral's name for it is "partial 23S ribosomal RNA". It matches the Rfam family "Bacterial large subunit ribosomal RNA", at positions 1 to 1599 of the family's 2925-position model. The record is from RNAcentral. Lineage: Bacteria; Pseudomonadati; Campylobacterota; Epsilonproteobacteria; Campylobacterales; Campylobacteraceae.
AGGUAAGCUACUAAGAGCGAAUGGUGGAUGCCUUGACUGGUAAAGGCGAUGAAGGACGUACUAGACUGCGAUAAGCUACGGGGAGCUGUCAAGAAGCUUUGAUCCGUAGAUUUCCGAAUGGGGCAACCCAAUGUAUAGAGAUAUACAUUACCUAUAUAGGAGCGAACGAGGGGAAUUGAAACAUCUUAGUACCCUCAGGAAAAGAAAUCAAUAGAGAUUGCGUCAGUAGCGGCGAGCGAAAGCGCAAGAGGGCAAACCCAGUGCUUGCACUGGGGGUUGUAGGACUGCAAUGUGCAAGAGGUGAGUUUAGCAGAACAUUCUGGAAAGUAUAGCCAUAGAGGGUGAUAGUCCCGUAUGCGAAAAACAAACCUUAGCUAGCAGUAUCCUGAGUAGGGCGGGACACGAGAAAUCCUGUCUGAAGCUGGGUCGACCACGAUCCAACCCUAAAUACUAAUACCAGAUCGAUAGUGCACAAGUACCGUGAGGGAAAGGUGAAAAGAACUGAGGUGAUCAGAGUGAAAUAGAACCUGAAACCAUUUGCUUACAAUCAUUCAGAGCCCUAUGUAGCAAUACAGGGUGAUGGACUGCCUUUUGCAUAAUGAGCCUGCGAGUUGUGGUGUCUGGCAAGGUUAAGCAAACGCGAAGCCGUAGCGAAAGCGAGUCUGAAUAGGGCGCUUAGUCAGAUGCUGCAGACCCGAAACGAAGUGAUCUAUCCAUGAGCAAGUUGAAGCUAGUGUAAGAACUAGUGGAGGACUGAACCCAUAGGCGUUGAAAAGCCCCGGGAUGACUUGUGGAUAGGGGUGAAAGGCCAAUCAAACUUCGUGAUAGCUGGUUCUCUCCGAAAUAUAUUUAGGUAUAGCGUUGUGUCGUAAUAUAAGGGGGUAGAGCACUGAAUGGGCUAGGGCAUACACCAAUGUACCAAACCCUAUCAAACUCCGAAUACCUUAUAUGUAAUCACAGCAGUCAGGCGGCGAGUGAUAAAAUCCGUCGUCAAGAGGGAAACAACCCAGACUACCAGCUAAGGUCCCUAAAUCUUACUUAAGUGGAAAACGAUGUGAAGUUACUUAAACAACCAGGAGGUUGGCUUAGAAGCAGCCAUCCUUUAAAGAAAGCGUAAUAGCUCACUGGUCUAGUGAUUUUGCGCGGAAAAUAUAACGGGGCUAAAGUAAGUACCGAAGCUGUAGACUUGCGCACAACUUAGAUUAUUUAAGUUUAGAAUAUGAGAAACUAAGUUAUAUGUUUAGUUAUAUUUUUACUGAUUUUUAUAGAGUAAAGAUAGAAAUAAAACUUAGUAAAAUCAGUAAAAAUAUUCUUAGACUAAAGUUAAGUAGUUUAAGUUGUGUGCAAGUGGUAGGAGAGCGUUCUAUUUGCGCCGAAGGUAUACCGGUAAGGAGUGCUGGAGCGAAUAGAAGUGAGCAUGCAGGCAUGAGUAGCGAUAAUUAAUGUGAGAAUCAUUAACGCCGUAAACCCAAGGUUUCCUACGCGAUGCUCGUCAUCGUAGGGUUAGUCGGGUCCUAAGUCGAGUCCGAAAGGGGUAGACGAUGGCAAAUUGGUUAAUAUUCCAAUACCAACAUUAGUGUGCGAUGGAAGGACGCUUAGGGCUAAGGGGGCUAGCGGAUGGAAGUGCUAGUCUAAGGUCGUAGGAGGUUAUACAGGCAAAUCCGUAUAACAAUACUCCGAGAACUGAAAGGCUUUUUGAAGUCUUCGGAUG